CACACUGUACAAUGGAUUUCUCGGCUCUUGCAUCGAUGAAGAACGCAGCAAAGCGCGAUAGGUAGUGUGAAUUGCAGAAUACCGUGAAUCAUCGAAUUUUUGAACGCAUAUUGCGCCCGGGUUUGAGCCUGGGCAUGUCUGCCUCAGCGUCGAUUU
Molecule: ribosomal RNA, 156 nt
Filed under: Phyllodictyon anastomosans
Lineage: Eukaryota; Viridiplantae; Chlorophyta; Ulvophyceae; Cladophorales; Boodleaceae
Description: 5.8S ribosomal RNA
Rfam family: 5.8S ribosomal RNA
About the family: 5.8S ribosomal RNA (5.8S rRNA) is a component of the large subunit of the eukaryotic ribosome.
Source: RNAcentral